Molecule: Y RNA, 111 nt
Filed under: Aotus nancymaae (Ma's night monkey)
Lineage: Eukaryota; Metazoa; Chordata; Mammalia; Primates; Aotidae
Description: Y RNA (ENSANAG00000006299.1)
Rfam family: Y RNA
About the family: Y RNAs are components of the Ro ribonucleoprotein particle (Ro RNP), in association with Ro60 and La proteins. The Y RNAs and Ro60 and La proteins are well conserved, but the function of the Ro RNP is not known. In humans the RNA component can be one of four small RNAs -- hY1, hY3, hY4 and hY5.
Source: Rfam by way of RNAcentral
GGCUGGUCUGAAGGUCGUGAGUUAUCUCCAUCGACUGUUCACAGUCAGUUACAGAUUGAACUCCUUGUUCUACUUUCCCCCCUUCUCUCUACUACACUUCACUAGUCUUUA